UUAGCUCAAUGGUGGAGCGACCGGCUGUUAACCGGUAGGUUGAAGGUUCGAGUCCUUCA
This 59-nucleotide transfer RNA is filed under the name human gut metagenome. It matches the Rfam family "tRNA", at positions 7 to 64 of the family's 71-position model. From Rfam's summary of the family: Transfer RNA (tRNA) molecules are approximately 80 nucleotides in length. Their secondary structure includes four short double-helical elements and three loops (D, anti-codon, and T loops). The record is from RNAcentral. RNAcentral also lists the same sequence under 2 other names.